Molecule: long non-coding RNA, 3819 nt
Organism: Rosa chinensis
Lineage: Eukaryota; Viridiplantae; Streptophyta; Magnoliopsida; Rosales; Rosaceae
Exons: 8
Source: RefSeq, a predicted model, not a curated record
UUAACCAUGGCUACCAAUUUGUCCCUUAAUAAAUGUCCUCACCUCGGCUUCCAUUCUCAGAGCCGCCACCGAGAAAAGUAAAAACUCCCGAUACUCAUCGGAGUUGGGGUUUCCGAUCAGAAAGUUCAAAUCUUUCGCCAUUUCCCACACUCUCACUUCUCGUCAAAUUGAACACUCAAUCCUCGACAUUUUGGGGAACGCCGUUAGGGUUUCGGCAUUAGCGAUUCCCGGAUGUUCACGCCGCUGAGGAAGGCGCCGAGGACCACCUACAAGGGCAAAGCCGUGGCGUACGUCGACGGUCCUCCGCCGCCACUGGGCUCGCUGAGCGAAAUCAGAAGCGGCAGCGGCGGGGCCAAAAACGUCGCCGGAUUUGGACAAUGCCGAUUGGAGGCGGUUUAAGGAGGUUGGGCUGCUCGGUGAGGCAGCCAAUAAGGUCGCUAGGCUUGAGUCUGAGCUUUAACAUAGCAUGGGGCUUCUCCUCACUGAGAAGAAAGAGUGAGCAUUGGAGCAUGAGGAGUUGAGCCAAGCAUUGGUUUUGGCUGAAACCCAAGAGAUUCUACACAGGGAGCAGAGGGCUCAUCUGAUCGCAAUUUCGGAAGUCAAAAGGCGAGAGGAGAAUUUGAGGAAGAUAUUGGUGGAGGAAAAGAGGUCUGCAGCUGAGCUCGAAAAGUCAUUGCGUGAAAUGCACGAGGAGUAUACCCGGAUAAAGCAUGCAUCUGAGGCGAAGGUGGCUAUACAAAUGCGUUGAUUGUUAGUGUUGAAGAUAAAUCUCUAGUGACAGAUGAGAAGUUUCUUGCUGCUGAAGCCAAGCUUGCUGAGGCCAACAAAAAGAGUCUGGAGGUGGAGAGGAGGUUGCAAGAGGUGGAGACACGUGAGUGUGCGCUUCGGAGGGAGCAAGCGUCGUUAAGUACAGAGAGAGAGGCACACAAGACAACUUUUUACAGACAAAGAGAAGACUUGAACGAGUGGAAAAGAAGUUAAAAGAAGGGGAAGAGAGGCUAAGCAAUCUUCGUAAAAUUUUGAACGAGAAAGAGGAAAAAACAAAUGAAAACGAGAUGAUUCUUAAGCAAAAAGAGAGAGACCUUUAUGAGGCUGAAAGGAAGAUUGAGUCUUCAAACUCUCUGUUGAAAGAGAAGGAAGAUGAUGUGAAUAAACGCCUAGCAGACCUAGUCUCAAAGGAAAAGGAGGUUCAUUCAGCUUCAUACAUCUUAGAGAUGAAGGAGAGAGAAUUACAUGCAUUGGAGGAAAAACUAAAUUCAAGAGAAAUGUGGAGAUUAAAGAGCACCUUGGCCAGCACAGGGCCAUUCUUGAUAGAAAAAUGCAGGCUUUUGAGUAGGGAAUUGAGGAAAGGAGGAAAUCUUUUGAGAAGGAACAGAGUAGCAAGAUAGAAGCGGUGGAACAAAAGGAACUUGAAAUCAGUCAUAAGGAAGAAAUGUUGAAGAAGCAAGAGAAAGCGUUGGAUGAGAAAUCAGAGAGGCUGAAGGAGAAACAUAAGGAAGUUGAAACAAAUUUGAAAAAUUUGAAGGAGAAAGAGAAGACCUUCAAAGCUGAUGAGAAAAAGUUAGAGCUGGAAAGGCAGCAAAUACUUACUAAUAUAGAGCACCUUCAGAAUCUUAAAGAUGAAAUUCAGGAAAUAAAAGACGAAAAUGCUCAACUGGAGCAGCAAAUUCGUGAAGGGAGAGAGAAGCAGGGAAUUACCGAGCAAGAGAGGUCGGACCACCUAUGUUUGCAGUCAGAACUGCAGCAGGAAAUAAACAAUUAUAGACUUCAGAAUGAGUUACUUUUGAAGCAAGCUGAAGAUCUGAAGCAGGAGAGGGAAAAGUUCGAAAAAGACUGGGAAGAUUUGGAUGAGAGAAGAGCUAAAGUUGAUGCAGAGCUUAGAAAAGUUGUUGAAGAGAAAGAAAAAUUGGAAAGAUUACAGUGUAUUGAAGCAGAGAGGUUGAAAGUACAGAGACAAGCAGUGCUGGAUUACAGACAGAGGGAGAUGGAAAAUCUCAAGCAGUAGAAAGAAUCAUUUGUAGCUAAGAUGAGUAAUGAGCAGAUAGCCUUAUCUGAAAGGGCCCUAUCUGAGCAUGCUCAAAUGGUCCAUGAUUUUGAGUCACGGAGAAGAGAUCUUGAGAUUGAUAUGCAGAAUUGGCAGGAUAAGAUGGUAAAAAAACUUCAGGAAAGGGUUCAUUUGAGGAGGAGAAGGAUAGAGAACAUACUAAUAUUAAUUUCUUGAAGGGAGUAGCUGAUAAGCAAAGAAAAGAGCUAUUAUCUGAAAGGAAUAUGAAUGAAAAGGAAAGGGAAGCGCUUGCACUGCAGCAGAAGGAGCUGGAAGCGAACCAACUUGAAACGCGAGAAGACAUAGAUCAGCUUGACAAGCUUAGCAAGAAGAUCAAGUGCCAGAGGGAACAGCUGAUUGGGGAAAGCGGUCGCUUUCUUGCCUUUGUACCAUGCUGAGGCUGUUCCUGAUUCUGAACAUAAAGAGUCAGGAUGGGGGAAAAACUGCAACAGAAAUGCAAGUUAGUGGUUUCCAAAGUAACUUCAAAUAAAAACAUGUUGUAUCUACUGACUUACCACCACUAUCGGCUAUGCAGUAAGGAAAGGAAUCCAACUUUCUUGCUGAUGAGGAAGCAAGAGGUCCUAGCAGUCAUGAAGAGCCUCAGCCAUCUCUUAGGAGAUGUAAUGACUCGGCCAAUGCUCAAGCAGUCGUAACUGAUAACAACUCUAAGGAGGCGGAUGAUGGGUAUGCUCCAUCAAUUGACGAUCACAGUUUCAUUGACAGCCAUGAGCAAGACAUUCCAGAAGAUUCUGAGCAGUCAGAGCUGAAAAGUGGCCAACGAAAACCAGCUAGGGGACGCAAAUCUAGAUUGUCUAGAACACACUCAGUGAACGCAGUUGUUGAAGACGCAAAGAAAUUUUUAGGAGAAACUCCAGAAGCAUCAAAUGCAAGUUUGCUCAAUGAGAGUAGUUACAUAAAUGAAGGUGAUUCCAGUUUUAUGAGCAUCAGUCGGAAACGAGCCCGCCCUGAGAGCUCCAGGAUAGAAAGCGAGCAAGAUGAUUGUGAUAGCGAAGGACGUUCUGGUAGUGUCACAGCUGGUGGGCAUAGGAAGAGGCGCCAACCCGUUGCUUCAGCAGUGCAAACCCCUGGAGAACAGUGAUAUAAUCUCAGACACCGCAAGACUGCAGGCACAUUGGCAGCAGCAUCAGCAGCGCCUCACCUGAAAAGUAGAAGGAAGGAAGAAUCAAAUCCUGAAUCUGUUGGUGUAGACCUGAUUCAGGUCACAACGUUAAAAACUGUGGAGUCAACAGAGGAACGAGUUGUGAGGUUUGCAACACCAGAACCACAAGACACUGUUAAUGGCAAUGCUGAUGCUGAUGAAACGAAGUUGGUUGAAGAGAGAGAGUUGAGUACAGAAGUGAAUGGCACAGAAUCUAGUGGUGGCAACAGCACAGGCGGGGAGAGUGACAACAGCACAGGUGAUGAGAGCGGCGAUGACUAUGAUGAUGAGGAUCCAAUCCUGGUCAAGCGUCAAUAGGGAAGAAGAUCUGGACCUUCUUCAGCACAUGAUGAGUCAAAUUUAACUUGAAUAAUUAUUGAACAUCUUUGUAAUGGCAAUGACUUGGCUUCAGCAUCUUUAGCCCUGUAUUGAGUUGGCUUCAGUUAGUAGGCUCUCUUAGCUUUUUUCUUUUCUUUUCUUUUCUCCUUAUUUGCCUUGUAAUCCCAUUACCAGCUGUAGCUCCUGCAAAUUGAUAACUGAGCAGUCCGAUUGUAGAAGUGUAUAAAACAGCUCCUUGUUUCCUGAUGAAGUAAGGUUACAGAAUCAAGUUUUCAGA